GACUACCGGGGUAUCUAAUCCUGUUUGCUCCCCACGCUUUCGAGCCUCAGCGUCAGUGUCAGUCCAGAAAGCCGCCUUCGCCACCGAUGUUCCUCCUAAUAUCUAUGCAUUUCACCGCUACACUAGGAAUUCCGCUUUCCUCUCCUGUACUCUAGUCAACCAGUAUUGGAUGCACCCCCCAAGUUAAGCCCGGGUAUUUCACAUCCAACUUAAUCGACCGCCUACGCUCCCUUUACGCCCAGUAAUUCCGGACAACGCUCGCCCCCUACGUAUUACCGCGGCUGCUGGCACGUAGUUAGCCGGGGCUUCCUCACAGAUUACCGUCAUUUGUUUCGUCAUCUGCGACAGAGGUUUACAAUCCGAAAACCUUCUUCCCUCACGCGGCGUUGCUGGGUCAGGCUUGCGCCCAUUGCCCAAUAUUCCCCACUGCAGCCCCCCGUAGG
This 443-nucleotide ribosomal RNA is filed under the name uncultured Bacillota bacterium. Its description in RNAcentral is "uncultured Firmicutes bacterium partial 16S ribosomal RNA". Lineage: Bacteria; Bacillati; Bacillota. The record is from RNAcentral.